This 76-nucleotide transfer RNA is filed under the name Pelagibius litoralis. Its description in RNAcentral is "tRNA-Lys". It matches the Rfam family "tRNA". From Rfam's summary of the family: Transfer RNA (tRNA) molecules are approximately 80 nucleotides in length. Their secondary structure includes four short double-helical elements and three loops (D, anti-codon, and T loops). RNAcentral also lists the same sequence under 13 other names. The record is from RNAcentral. Lineage: Bacteria; Pseudomonadati; Pseudomonadota; Alphaproteobacteria; Rhodospirillales; Rhodovibrionaceae.
GGGCGCAUAGCUCAGUUGGCAGAGCAGCUGACUCUUAAUCAGCGGGUCCAAGGUUCGAGUCCUUGUGCGCCCACCA